AGAGCGAACGCUGGCGGCAGGCCUAACACAUGCAAGUCGAGCGCCCCGCAAGGGGAGCGGCAGACGGGAGAGUAACACGUGGGAACGUGCCCUUUGGUUCGGAACAACACAGGGAAACUUGUGCUAAUACCGGAUAAGUCCGUAAGGAGAAAGAUUUAUCGCCAAAGGAUCGGCCCGCGUCUGAUUAGCUAGUUGGUGAGGUAACGGCUCACCAAGGCGACGAUCAGUAGCUGGUCUGAGAGGAUGAUCAGCCUCACUGGGACUGAGACACGGCCCAGACUCCUACGGGAGGCAGCAGUGGGGAAUAUUGGACAAUGGGCGCAAGCCUGAUCCAGCCAUGCCGCGUGGAUGAUGAAGGCCCUAGGGUUGUAAAGUCCUUUCGACGGGGAAGAUAAUGACGGUACCCGUAGAAGAAGCCCGGCUAACUUCGCGCCAGCAGCCGC
Molecule: ribosomal RNA, 443 nt
Filed under: uncultured bacterium
Lineage: Bacteria
Description: SSU rRNA
Rfam family: Bacterial small subunit ribosomal RNA
Source: RNAcentral